GACGAACGCUGGCGGCGUGCUUAACACAUGCAAGUCGAACGGUGAAGCGCCUUCCUCUUUGGUGGGUGUGGAUGAGUGGCGAACGGGUGAGUAACACGUGAGUAACCUGCCCCCUUCUUCUGGAUAACCGCGUGAAAGUGUGGCUAAUACGGGAUAUUCUGGGUCUGUCGCAUGAUGGGUCUUGGCACGAUAUUGUUUCGGUGGGGGAUGGGAUCGCGGCCUAUCGGUUUGUGGGUGGGGUGAUGGCCUACCAAGGCGGUGACGGGUGGCCGUCCUGAGAGGAUGAACGGUCACGCUGGGGAUGAGAGACGGACCAUCCUACGACAGGAGGCAGUGGUGGAGAAUAUAGCACGAGGGGAGGAAGGCUGAUGCAGCGACGCCGCGGGAGGGAUGGAGUCCUUCGGGUUGUGAACCUCUUUCGCGAGGGAAGCAGGCCUGCCUCGUAUGUGGGUGGGUUGACGGUAGCUAGAGAAGAAGCGCCGGCUAACUACGUG
This 494-nucleotide ribosomal RNA is filed under the name uncultured bacterium. RNAcentral describes it as "partial 16S ribosomal RNA". It matches the Rfam family "Bacterial small subunit ribosomal RNA", at positions 28 to 507 of the family's 1533-position model. The record is from RNAcentral.